Molecule: ribosomal RNA, 500 nt
Filed under: uncultured bacterium
Lineage: Bacteria
Description: partial 16S ribosomal RNA
Rfam family: Bacterial small subunit ribosomal RNA
Source: RNAcentral
AUUGAACGCUGGCGGAAUGCUUUACACAUGAAAGUCGAACGGCAGCACGGACUUCGGUCUGGUGGCGAGUGGCGAACGGGUGAGUAAUACAUCGGAACGUGCCCAGUCGUGGUGGAUAACGUAGCGAAAGCUACGCUAAUACCGCAUACGCUCGAAGGAUGAAAGCGGGGGACCGGAAGGCCUCGCGCGAUUGGAACGGCCGAUGGCAGAUUAGGUAGUUGGUUGGGUAAAGGCCUACCAAGCCGACGAUCUGUAGCUGGUCUGAGAGGACGACCAGCCACACUGGGACUGAGACACGGCCCAGACUCCUACGGGAGGCAGCAGUGGGGAAUUUUGGACAAUGGGCGCAAGCCUGAUCCAGCCAUUCCGCGUGCAGGAUGAAGGCCUUCGGGUUGUAAACUGCUUUUGUACGGAACGAAAAGGCUCUGGUUAAUACCUGGGGCUCAUGACGGUACCGUAAGAAUAAGCACCGGCUAACUACGUGCCAGCAGCCGCCGUAA